GACGAACGCUGGCGGUGUGCUUAACACAUGCAAGUCGAACGGUAAGGCCCUGUCGGGGGUACACGAGUGGCGGACGGGCGGGUGACACGCAAGUAACCUACCCGCCUCUCUGGUAUAACAGACGGAAAGGGUUGGUAGUUCUGGCCAUGUACUUGCUCGGCAUCCAGUGUGUGGGUAGGAUUUUUUUGGUUGGGGGUGGACGUGCCGCCUCUCAGCUUGUUGGUGGGGGAGUGGCUUACCAACGCGUCGGCGGGUGGCCGGCCUGAGAGGGGGGACGGCCACAAUGGGAAUGGGAUUAGGCCCAAGCCCCUACGGGGGGGAGCAGGGGGGAAUAUUGGACAAUGGACGGGAGGCUGAUGCAGGAACGCCGCGGGCGGGAUGAAGGGCUUCGGGUUGGAAACCGCUUUCAACUGGGGAGAAGCUUUUUGUGACGGUAGCAGGAGAAGAAGCACCGGCUAACUACGUG
This 466-nucleotide ribosomal RNA is filed under the name uncultured bacterium. RNAcentral describes it as "partial 16S ribosomal RNA". It matches the Rfam family "Bacterial small subunit ribosomal RNA", at positions 28 to 507 of the family's 1533-position model. The record is from RNAcentral.